RNAcentral lists this ribosomal RNA (92 nucleotides) under Phascolarctobacterium sp. CAG:266. RNAcentral also lists the same sequence under 1 other name. Lineage: Bacteria; Bacillati; Bacillota; Negativicutes; Acidaminococcales; Acidaminococcaceae. The record is from RNAcentral.
CACCUGUUCCCAUCCCGAACACAGAAGUUAAGCCCUUAUACGUCGAAAGUACUUGGCUGGAAGCGGCCCGGGAGGAUAGAUAGCUGCCGGUU